Stegodyphus mimosarum is the source of this 73-nucleotide non-coding RNA. NCBI's taxonomy places the organism in Eukaryota, Metazoa, Arthropoda, Arachnida, Araneae, Eresidae. The record is from Rfam.
GCCUUCGAGGUGUAAUGGCUAGCACACUCGGCACGUAUUCGAGAGGUCCGAGGUUCGAAUCCCGGCGAGAGCA